This is a non-coding RNA of Musa acuminata subsp. malaccensis (wild Malaysian banana), 1087 nucleotides long. The record is from RefSeq and is a predicted model, not a curated record. Lineage: Eukaryota; Viridiplantae; Streptophyta; Magnoliopsida; Zingiberales; Musaceae.
UCGAUAUCGCACGGACGACUCCACCGACAGUGUUGGCUGAUCGGGGGGGUCGGUGCAAAGUCAAAAUCAUCGCCUCCGGAAACUGGAAUCAAUCGAGAAAUAAUAGCCAUUUACUGAUUGCUUGUUCUAGCAAUCUUCCCCCGAAGAAUCCUCCCUGUUCUUGGCUUUCGUUAAAGUACUACCUCCCAUGGAAUUCUUUAAGUUAUUGUGAUUUUCCUCAUAAUAAUUUGGCCCACCUGAAAAGACAGCAAUGGGGGAAAAGGGCGACUCUUCUGCGUUCGACUUCUUGAUCGGAUUUUAGGCUGCAAGUGUUGAUGUUGCAGUACAAGCCUUAACCUACCUUUUUCGGAAAGGAAGAGAGGAGGAAGUUAGGGUUUCGAUCUGCCAGACAUAGAUGGCCAUGCGGUGGAGCUUGGUCAUUUACUUCAUGAGCGUGGUAUGGGCGGCACUCAAUGGUUGGGUCUCUGCGUGUUUGAUGGUCGCCGACGAGAUCGCCCGGGGUCUCAGGGCCGGCGACAUCGGCCCGCUACCUAUAGGUUGACCAACGUCGCCGAGGAAUGUUGGAAUCUUGAUAGCUUGGCAGGGAAGAAAGUUAUUUGGCUUUGGACAUAUUACAUGGAAAAGAUGUUUUUUGUGGAUGAACCCAUUGUUGGUUUUUUACUCUAACUUGAUCAUAGGUUGUGUGAGCAAAAUAAAUUGAUGGUGGUUUGCAGAAUUUAUGUGAAAUGAGUGAAUGAGUAUGUUUGAUUUGGAUUUUCAUUUUUCAAAUUUCUAGUGGAGUUGCAGAAAUAUCUUAACUGAAAGGGUGAUAUCAGGCAUCUCUCUGUUAGUUCUUCACUUAUUCUGCUGUUGGUUCUUAACUUAUUCUGCUGGAAUCUUGAUGGAGAUGACAAAUCUCUGUUUCGGCUACCACCUAAGAUGGGAAGGACAAUUAUAGUAUAAUAUGACAGCAAAUGAAAUUGAAAUUCAUCAUUGGAUCAGAUUUGCUUUAUAUCCAUAUGGGGUUUUGGUUGGAAAUCAUCUGAUUUUGUUUGCAUUGCAAUGAUAACAACUUUAUUUCGUGGGCUUAAUUGUUGUGUUCAAUACA